Long non-coding RNA from Daphnia magna, 882 nucleotides. RefSeq lists it as uncharacterized. Lineage: Eukaryota; Metazoa; Arthropoda; Branchiopoda; Diplostraca; Daphniidae. The transcript has 3 exons. The record is from RefSeq and is a predicted model, not a curated record.
UUUCAUAACUGUUCGUUAAGGUGGUUGCUUAAUGCUCAUGUUUUACUAAUCUGUUGGUUUCAGGAUUUGUUGAGCAUUCGCAGCCUAAUUGUUCCCUCUAAGAGUGUCUUGUCUAGGAAAAGCAUUUAAUUGUCUGUUUAAACCGGAACUUCAUUUCAUUUCUGCAUUUAUCACUGUUUAAGUUACAUCUGGUGUCGGAUAUUAACAUGGUUGGUGGCAGAGGACGUGCAAGAGGCAAGUCACAUAGAGGAAGACAGUUAGUCUCAAGAAGAAGUGAAGCUGGUUUUGCAACGGAAUCCUAUCAGGUCACACCAGCUAAUCCAGCUCCUUUCCUUCAGCGAAUUGUUGAUGAGUUGCCAGAGGAUCCACACCAGCAACAAGUACUCAAUGAAGAAGCCGAAGUUGAAGAAAUGGAAAGUUUAAAUCAAACAGCUGAUAAUCGUGAGGAAGAAGAGGAUCGCCAUCCACCUGUAAAGGAGCAGGCUCCUCCCGGAGAGCCCAUUGCUUUAUUCACUGUCUAGUCUUGGAAGGCGGCAUGGCGGCAUAAAUUUUAAUCUUAAAACCAUAUGUGACACCAAAGACAUGGAUUUUUUUCAAUUUUUCUUCUUUCUAUUUAUCACAAAAAAAGUAUCUUAUCUGAUCUUAUCUGAUCUUCAGGGGUAAAAAAAAAUAUGAAAAAAAGUAUCUGAUCGGUAUUUUUGUAGAUAGUAUCUCUAUCUUUUUUUUCAGCAUUUAUUUCGACUGUCUGAUCUGAUCUUUAGGUUUGUAGUUGACCACCUAUCGGUAUCUGAUCUUCAGGCCAAAAAAAAAGAGAUCUGAAACACUGAUUUUUAUAGUUUAAGAACGACAAAUUCCAAUAAAAUGUAGCCCCCUUGGCCCCUU